This 301-nucleotide ribosomal RNA is filed under the name uncultured bacterium. RNAcentral describes it as "partial 16S ribosomal RNA". It matches the Rfam family "Bacterial small subunit ribosomal RNA", at positions 509 to 807 of the family's 1533-position model. The record is from RNAcentral.
CAGCCGCCGCGGUAAUACGGAGGGUGCAAGCGUUAAUCGGAAUUACUGGGCGUAAAGCGCACGCAGGCGGUCUGUCAAGUCAGAUGUGAAAUCCCCGGGCUUAACCUGGGAACUGCAUUUGAAACUGGCAGGCUAGAGUCUUGUAGAGGGGGGUAGAAUUCCAGGUGUAGCGGUGAAAUGCGUAGAGAUCUGGAGGAAUACCGGUGGCGAAGGCGGCCCCCUGGACAAAGACUGACGCUCAGGUGCGAAAGCGUGGGGAGCAAACAGGAUUAGAUACCCCUGUAGUCCCUGUCUCUUAUAC